UCGGCAACUCCUCACUCACCGU
This 22-nucleotide microRNA is filed under the name Macaca mulatta (Rhesus monkey). Its description in RNAcentral is "mml-miR-6790-3p". Lineage: Eukaryota; Metazoa; Chordata; Mammalia; Primates; Cercopithecidae. The record is from miRBase by way of RNAcentral.